UACGUAGGGUGCAAGCGUUACUCGGAAUCAUUGGGCGUAAAGCGCGUGUAAGUGGCUAUGUAAGUCUGAUGUGAAAGCCCUGGACUCAAUCCAGGAAGUGCAUUGGAUACUGCAUUGCUAGAGUAUAGGAGAGGUGGACGGAAUUCCUGGUGUAGAGGUGAAAUUCGUAGAUAUCAGGAGGAACAACAGAGGCGAAGGCGGUUCACUGGACUAUAACUGACACUCAGACGCGAAAGUGUGGGGAGCAAACAGG
This 253-nucleotide ribosomal RNA is filed under the name uncultured bacterium. RNAcentral describes it as "partial 16S ribosomal RNA". It matches the Rfam family "Bacterial small subunit ribosomal RNA", at positions 524 to 776 of the family's 1533-position model. The record is from RNAcentral.